GCUAAGAUGGAGGUGGCUCUCUCUAUACUGACUGCCAGGUGUAAAGGGCGGAGCUUAUAACAAUGACUGACAGGGAGCUAAGAUGGAGGCGGCUCUCUCUAUACUGACUGCCAGGUGUAAAGGGCGGAGCUUAUAACAAUGAUUGACAGGGAGCUAAGAUGGAGGCGUCUCUCUCUCUAUACUGACUGUCAGGUGUAAAGGGCGGAGCUUAUAACUAUGAUUGACAGGGAGCUAAGAUGGAGGCGGCUCUCUCUAUACUGACUGCCAGGUGUAAAGGGCGGAGCUUAUAACAAUGACUGACAGAGAGCUAAG
Molecule: long non-coding RNA, 312 nt
Filed under: Pelobates cultripes (western spadefoot toad)
Lineage: Eukaryota; Metazoa; Chordata; Amphibia; Anura; Pelobatidae
Source: RNAcentral